Molecule: ribosomal RNA, 1449 nt
Filed under: uncultured bacterium
Lineage: Bacteria
Description: bacterial SSU rRNA
Rfam family: Bacterial small subunit ribosomal RNA
Source: RNAcentral
AGAGUUUGAUCAUGGCUCAGGAUGAGCGCUGGCGGCGUGCUUAACACAUGCAAGUCGAACGAACCUUCGGGUUAGUGGCGGACGGGUGAGUAACGCGUGGGAAUCUGCCCUCAGGAGGGGGAUAACGGCCGGAAACGGCCGCUAAUACCCCAUAUGCCGAGAGGUGAAAUGAAUUUCGCCUGAGGAUGAGCCCGCGUCUGAUUAGCUAGUUGGUGAGGUAAGAGCUCACCAAGGCAUCGAUCAGUAGCUGGUCUGAGAGGAUGAUCAGCCACACUGGGACUGAGACACGGCCCAGACUCCUACGGGAGGCAGCAGUGGGGAAUUUUCCGCAAUGGGCGAAAGCCUGACGGAGCAACGCCGCGUGAGGGAUGAAGGCCUCUGGGCUGUAAACCUCUUUUAUCAAGGAAGAAGAUCUGACGGUACUUGAUGAAUAAGCCACGGCUAAUUCCGUGCCAGCAGCCGCGGUAAUACGGGAGUGGCAAGCGUUAUCCGGAAUUAUUGGGCGUAAAGCGUCCGCAGGCGGCCCUACAAGUCUGCUGUUAAAAAGUGGAGCUUAACUCCAUCAUGGCAGUGGAAACUGUUGGGCUCGAGUGUGGUAGGGGCAGAGGGAAUUCCCGGUGUAGCGGUGAAAUGCGUAGAUAUCGGGAAGAACACCAGUGGCGAAAGGCGCUCUGCUGGGCCAUCACUGACGCUCAUGGACGAAAGCCAGGGGAGCGAAAGGGAUUAGAUACCCCUGUAGUCCUGGCGUAAACGAUGAACACUAGGUGUCGGGGGAAUCGACCCCUCCGGUGUCGUAGCCAACGCGUUAAGUGUUCCGCCUGGGGAGUACGCACGCAAGUGUGAAACUCAAAGGAAUUGACGGGGGCCCGCACAAGCGGUGGAGUAUGUGGUUUAAUUCGAUGCAACGCGAAGAACCUUACCAGGGUUUGACAUCCUGCGAAUCUCUUGGAAACUUGAGAGUGCCUUCGGGAACGCAGUGACAGGUGGUGCAUGGCUGUCGUCAGCUCGUGUCGUGAGAUGUUGGGUUAAGUCCCGCAACGAGCGCAACCCACGUCUUUAGUUGCCAGCAUUUAGUUGGGCACUCUAGAGAGACCGCCGGUGAUAAACCGGAGGAAGGUGUGGAUGACGUCAAGUCAUCAUGCCCCUUACAUCCUGGGCUACACACGUACUACAAUGCUACGGACAAAGGGCAGCAAGUUCGCGAGGACAAGCAAAUCCCAUAAACCGUAGCUCAGUUCAGAUCGUAGGCUGCAACUCGCCUACGUGAAGGAGGAAUCGCUAGUAAUCGCAGGUCAGCAUACUGCGGUGAAUACGUUCCCGGGCCUUGUACACACCGCCCGUCACACCAUGGAAGUUGGCCACGCCCGAAGCCGUUACUCCAACCCUUGUGGAGGAGGACGUCGAAGGUGGGGCUGAUGACUGGGGUGAAGUCGUAACAAGGUAACCGUA